Molecule: ribosomal RNA, 466 nt
Filed under: uncultured bacterium
Lineage: Bacteria
Description: partial 16S ribosomal RNA
Rfam family: Bacterial small subunit ribosomal RNA
Source: RNAcentral
GACGAACGCUGGCGGCGCGCCUAACACAUGCCAGUCGAACGAGCGAGAGAGAGCUUGCUUUCUCGAGCGAGUGGCGAACGGGUGAGUAACGCGUGAGGAACCUGCCUCAAAGAGGGGGACAACAGUUGGAAACGACUGCUAAUACCGCAUAAGCCCACGGUGCCGCAUGGCACAGAGGGAAAAGGAGCAAUCCGCUUUGAGAUGGCCUCGCGUCCGAUUAGCUAGUUGGUGAGGUAAUGGCCCACCAAGGCGACGAUCGGUAGCCGGACUGAGAGGUUGAACGGCCACAUUGGGACUGAGACACGGCCCAGACUCCUACGGGAGGCAGCAGUGGGGAAUAUUGCACAAUGGGGGAAACCCUGAUGCAGCGACGCCGCGUGGAGGAAGAAGGUCUUCGGAUUGUAAACUCCUGUUGUUGGGGAAGAUAAUGACGGUACCCAACAAGGAAGUGACGGCUAACUACGUA